AGUUUGAUCCUGGCUCAGAUUGAACGCUGGCGGCAUGCUUUACACAUGCAAGUCGAACGGUAACAGGCCGCAAGGUGCUGACGAGUGGCGAACGGGUGAGUAAUGCAUCGGAACGUGCCCAGUCGUGGGGGAUAACGCAGCGAAAGCUGCGCUAAUACCGCAUACGAUCUAUGGAUGAAAGCGGGGGACCGUAAGGCCUCGCGCGAUUGGAGCGGCCGAUGUCAGAUUAGGUAGUUGGUGGGGUAAAGGCUCACCAAGCCGACGAUCUGUAGCUGGUCUGAGAGGACGACCAGCCACACUGGGACUGAGACACGGCCCAGACUCCUACGGGAGGCAGCAGUGGGGAAUUUUGGACAAUGGGCGCAAGCCUGAUCCAGCAAUGCCGCGUGCAGGAAGAAGGCCUUCGGGUUGUAAACUGCUUUUGUACGGAACGAAAAGGCUCUGGUUAAUACCUGGGGCUCAUGACGGUACCGUAAGAAUAAGCACCGGCUAACUACGUGCCAGCAGCCGCGGUAAUACGUAGGGUGCAAGCGUUAAUCGGAAUUACUGGGCGUAAAGCGUGCGCAGGCGGUUUUGUAAGACAGGCGUGAAAUCCCCGGGCUUAACCUGGGAAUUGCGCUUGUGA
RNAcentral lists this ribosomal RNA (625 nucleotides) under uncultured Hydrogenophaga sp. RNAcentral's name for it is "bacterial SSU rRNA". It matches the Rfam family "Bacterial small subunit ribosomal RNA", at positions 10 to 632 of the family's 1533-position model. Lineage: Bacteria; Pseudomonadati; Pseudomonadota; Betaproteobacteria; Burkholderiales; Comamonadaceae. The record is from RNAcentral.